GCGACCCCAGGACGGGCGAGGCCACCCGCCGAGUUUAAGCAUAUCAAUAAGCGGAGGAGAA
This 61-nucleotide ribosomal RNA is filed under the name Dendrobium mariae. Its description in RNAcentral is "partial 26S ribosomal RNA". The record is from RNAcentral. Lineage: Eukaryota; Viridiplantae; Streptophyta; Magnoliopsida; Asparagales; Orchidaceae. RNAcentral also lists the same sequence under 1 other name.